AUUGAACGCUGGCGGCAGGCCUAACACAUGCAAGUCGAGCGGAGCGGCGGACGGGUGAGUAAUGCCUAGGACUCUUCCUGGUAGUGGGGGAUAACGUCCGUCAACGGGCGCUCAUACCGCAUCCUAUCAGUUGCGCCUAGGUCGGAUUCGCUAGUUGGUGGGGUAAAGGCCUACAAAGGCGACGAUCCGUAACUGGUCUGAGAGGAUGAUCAGUCACACUGGAACUUAGACACGGUCCAGACUCCUACGGGAGGCAGCAGUGGGGAAUAUUGGACAAUGGGCGAAAGCCUGAUCCAGCCAGGCCGCGUGUGUGAAGAAGGUCUUCGGAUUGUAAAGAACUUUCAGCGGGGCGGCGUUACCCGCAGAAGAAGCACCGGCUAACUCCGUGCCAGCAGCCGCGGUAAUAC
RNAcentral lists this ribosomal RNA (407 nucleotides) under uncultured bacterium. RNAcentral describes it as "partial 16S ribosomal RNA". It matches the Rfam family "Bacterial small subunit ribosomal RNA", at positions 30 to 526 of the family's 1533-position model. The record is from RNAcentral.